UUCUAAUACAGUUCUUCCUGAAGAUCCAGUGUUCUCUGCCUGAGUGGAGAAUUCCCUUCUUUCAUUAGUUAGGCUUAACAGCGCUAUUUCUUCAUUGGCCAUGCCUCUACUUAAUCCUCCUGUUCUCUGAGUUUUGGGUAGCUGGCUGUCUUCUCUGAUUGUAUCUCUGGACUUUUCUGGUCUUGCUGCUUUGCUUGUCUGAGCGCACCUUCUCUCCUACUUGGCUCAAGUUUGUCAUUUGGCACCUUUGCUGCAUCUUUAGGCAUGGUGUCUUUGCUCCUAUGGCUUUCGUUACUAUUCUAGUGCUUGCUGUUUUCUUCUUGCCACUCCAGUUCUGGACUUGCACUUAAAUCUGUUUUCUUUCAUGAGUUCAAGUUUCUUAAAGCUGUCUCACUUAUCCUAAGUUUUUCUUUCAGAUGUGAGUGUAAGAAUAGCCAUACUCCUGGUGGGUUUUUACAUUUCCACUUUUUUCCUGCUAAUGUUUCCCAGGGAAGUUUCUGCUCUUUUCCUUAUCUUAAAGGAUGGUUGGCAUGUGGCAGUUCAGGGUAUCUGCUAUACUGUGCCUAAAGAACUAGGACUUGAAUUCAGAAAGUUAGAGGAAGAGAGGUAUUCCCUGCUGGAACUAUUUCACAGUGCAAAAAUAUGGAAUUCCAGGGCAAGCUUAAGGCACAUGUAAUGCAAGACCAAUUCUCUAGUACUGGACUUCCUGAUCAUUGGUGGACAUGCAAGGUAAGUUCCUUUCAGGUUUUAUGGCAAGCCUGAUGUUUUUUUAUGAAGUGACGGCAGUGUAAGCAGUGACCAUAAGCAUUUCAUUCAGGUAACAGUCAUCUGUUGUGGGGGAUGUUGCUUAUUCAGCUGUGUGUUGCACAUGCCUUAUUAAACUUCUUUGUAGAAGAAAUCUGGGGAAGCAAGAAGUUUUGUCGUAAUGCCUCUCAUUAUUAUCCAUUAGUUACGUUUGUCUCAUUUUUCUUCCAUUUGCUUCAGAUUAUUGUUCUUAGUUUCACUUCUGAGGCUGAGGAGUGGUAAAUUACGAUAGCAAAAACAUAAGCUAUUAUUUAUGAAACAAUUUUUUGGUUAAUUUUUGUAGUGUGGUUAACUGUCUUUGGUUGUAAGCCAAAGGUAAUGGUCUUUUCUGUGCGUCUGAGAGUUGAUAUUCUACACAUCAAGCACUGAGGUAAGUUGUAGACUGCUGGACUUACUGGGCAGAAAUAAAUUGAGUUGCACUCCUUGCUUCACUAAAGCAAGAACACAAUCUUCUGCAUUAACACAGGAACAAAACAUAAAGGACCGAUGCCUUUCAUUUGGAAAGGAUAAGACUUUUUGUGGGUUUUGUUUACUAGUUUUAACUCUUAAUUUUAUGGUAACUAAAUCUGGAUCGUGGUGGUGAAUUGUUUCAUUUUUUUGUUUGACAGCUGGAUGGUGCUGUUGUACAACAGAGACUGCAUGAAAACAACAUUGCUAACCACUGCUGUCUUUCUAGGUUUUUUUUGCCUCUUCCACAGAUUUACAACAAUAAAUUCAUUCAGGAGAAAGGAAGGCUGGAUGUUGCCUCUAUACGAUAGAGAAGAGGAGGGUGAGGUCUAGAGUCUAGAAUGCUGGAGAUAGCAAGUUUGUGUGUAGCCUGAGAAGCCUUCAAGCAUGGUCCUCCAGAGUAUUUUGUUUUCCACUGAGGUCUCUUGCUCAGAGCUGAGCACUGAACCAGCAGUAGCUCUGGGCUCUCUGCCAGGCCCAGGUGAAUGUCCAGAUGUCUUUGUUUUACUGGAGUUGUGUGUGCUGCAGCUCUGGGUGUUCUUUGUCUUCUCUGACUAGUUCUUUAAGUAUGGAAAGUAAUAGAUCUGACUACUUCAGAUGGUUUUUUUAAUUGUUACUGCUACAGUUUUCUAUCCAAUAGGUAGAAGUACUACAUUUAUACCCACUAAAUGCAAUGGACUGUUAAGACUUGAGUAUGUUUUUUAGUCUGUCUCUAUAUGUAACUGAGACUCAUAAGAUCUUGAAUAAAUUCUCUCUCCAUCCUUCAGGGUUCUAUCUUGGUGCCUUCUUUGUCCAAAUCCUUUUGUGAGUGACUGCAGUUCUGACACCUUCAAUACAGUUUAAGUCUUUAAAUCACACAGUUACUUCCCACUUGGCACUCAAGAUGCUGAACUAAAUGCAUCUAACCUGAAACUUUUAAAAUUAGCCUGCCUUCCCCUUCAGCAUCCCAUUGAAUAAUGUCAGCCUCUUACCUUACACUAGUGCAAAUCCUGCCCUUAGACUUCCUUUUUUCUAUGACUUCAAUCUUGUGGAUUUUUCCUC
Molecule: long non-coding RNA, 2292 nt
Organism: Gallus gallus (chicken)
Lineage: Eukaryota; Metazoa; Chordata; Aves; Galliformes; Phasianidae
Source: Ensembl